UUUAUCAUCCAAAUGUCAGUAACAGUGCAGAAUAUUUUAAUUCUGAAGCUAGGCACUACUAAUGGAGAUGAAAAUACCCACGCAAUGUUGCCAGAAUAUUGGAUGAAAAGUCACAGCAUAAAAAAACUAUUUAAAAUGAUAUCGAGUUAUGUUGAGCUGCCAAUCAAAAAUCUCUACUAUUGAAGAAGAAUUGAACGUCAUGACGGUUCGACCUUCUCGGGCUACUCCCCCGCCUCGAUCGAUAUCCCCGCCUCGCUGGAAAAAAAAUCGCAGGAAAUAGAACCCCACGUUCCAUGGUAGCGAAAAAACCGAGAUAACCCACACGUUCUCCACCUUCUCCCCGACCUGUCCAUCUCAUCUCCGGAUCUCUUUGGCACAAACCCGAACAAUCCGGCUCUCUCCUCUCCUCGCGACCGCGCGGCACCCUCCCUCUCUAGGUUGGCCAUAGCCCGAGCCCCCGGGCGACGACCGUCCGAGCCACUCUACCGUCAUGGAUUGAAGGAGGAAGCGGCGGGGGGCGGUGCGGAUCCCAUCUUACCCUCCACCGUCACGUAUGGAAGGAGGCCAUGGCAACCAGCUGUGCGAAGCCAAUCCUCCGCCUGGCAGUUAUGUGCGGCUCCCUCCGCCAGAGCUUCUCUCUACACAUGUACGUUGUCUCGUCGGUCUCUUCAUCCCUUCGGUCGGCACGCACCGGCGCUGCUGACCCGUGGUUGACCAGCAGCGGAGGCGUGUGUCAGGAGUCUCUAGCCGCUGCAUGCUACAUUAUCAGGUUUGAUCUUCUGUUAAAUCUUGAUCCCUUCAGUUUCCGUUUGGAACAUUCCAUUCUUGUUAGUGAUCAUCAGGGAUCCCAUCAGCCCUCAUAUCAGGACAGAUAUAUGGGAUUUUUCAUCCGUGUGUGGUUCAAUUGGAAUAUUAUUAGGCCUCUGAUAAAUUGCCAAAAGGUGACCGCCGAAUACCAUCCCCUCACCGAUCAGGCCUAGAAGAUGGUGAAACUCUCACAAGGUGAACACCAUGGGGUAAAGCUAGCUUAUAAUUUAGCGGCGGCGUGGUGUCAUCAUGGUCGGAGGAGGCAACUCAUAUGGGGAUGCCAAGGAGAUCAAUCAGAAUUCUAUCGCUGUUGUUGCACCAAAAUAUCUUUACAGCUGCUAUUUUUUUUAAAUAUCCCAAAUACAGAUUAUUUUGUCAAUGCAACAACAUGAUCAAUCUCAAGGGCAAUGCAUUACUCAUGGUAUACUUAAUAAUUAAGUGGAGUUCCAAAAGCGACGGUGAUGGUUGUGCCACCACCAACAGCAGAGAAGAAAGAGGCGUGGCAGUGGUGGUGCAGAAAGAGCGAUAGAGAAGUGGGAGGAAAGUAAGUAGCGGCAUUGGUGUAAGGACUAAGGAAGAAGGGGAGAGCAUGGUGAGCAAGAUGAGGUUCUGGAGAAAUGCGACAGGGUAGUCGUUCCCUAAGCCUAUCGGCAUGACCCAAUUCACUCCAAUUUUUUUGCAGGUUCAGUUUUGUUAGCAUUGGUAAAUAUAUUCAUCAUUACAGGGUGGAAGUUAUCUGUACUUUUGUUUUGUACAUUUUUACAGCUAUACCUUGGUGGAAGUGAGCCAGGCCCUUGAAAAAAUCUCACGGUAGUCACUUCGUUCAGUAAUAUUUUUGCAUGUACAGCAUGUAGGUUUCAUUCACAUCUAGCAAAAGACUCUCCAGACAACGGAGGUUUGCUUUGUAGACUUUAUUUUCUAAUACAGUCAAACUUCAGCAUAUAUGUACUUUUUUUUUAUAAUCAACACACACGUUCAAUUGAACAUACUACCCGCAGAAAAGUAGUCAGGCAAACAUGCUUGCAUUUCCUUAGAUGGUAUAUAGGUCCGAAUUAAUGAUUGUAGGUGUUGACAUACUAUGUACAAUGUAAGAGAACGACAUGGAUGAUAUAUUAUUAGAGAAAAAAAAUGAAAGAAUUAGGGUGGACGUUAAUUUGCUGGAAGUGAGUACUCCACUACAAUGCUUGUAAUAGCUUUAUAGUUCUAUAUAUGAUGCAAACCUAUGUGUUCAGGAGCCGUUUUUGCUACGGAACUCUGAAGCAUGUGGUUGAAGUAAACACUGGACGGAGAAAGACUUCGCAUAUUCAGCAGCAGACUCAAAGCUGCUGGUGCGAAAACAGAAUUUGCACCGUACAACAGGCAAAGCCUCACUACAGAGUUCUGCCUAGGGAUACGCUUUUUGCAAAGGUAAUUGAGAUUUUUUUGAAUGAUGAUAAUAAAGAUUUAUACUUUUAAUACAUGUUCCAGCUAUAGGAGGAUGCCAAGGAGAUCAAUCAGAUUUCUUUACACAUUAAGACAUCGUCAUCUUUUAUUGCUACUGUUGCAGCACAAUAGCUUUAGUGUCGCUAUUUUUCAGAAAAAUAUCCCAAUUUACACAUUGUUUUGUCAAUUUUAAUUUUCAAACGGAGGUUUGUUUGGUAGACAUUACUUUCUAGAUAUAGUUAAACUUUAACAGAUAUAUACAUUGAGCAGAGUCAACUGAACAUGCUACCGGCAGAAAGUGUCAAUUAAAACAUGAUGUAUUUUCUUAGUUCUUAGAUGGUAUGUAGGUCCUGGACUAAUAAUUGUAGGUGUUGACAUACUAUUUCUAUUGUAAGAGAACUAUGUGGAUGAUGCAUCAUUAGAAAAGAUUGACAGAAUUAGGAUGGUUGUUAUUCUGAUGGACGUGAUUACUCCACUACAAUGCUUCUAAUAGCUUUAUAGUUUUAUGAUGCAAACCUAUGUGUUCGGGAGCCUUUUUUUCUACGGAAAUCUGAAGCAUGUGGUUGAAGUAAAUACCAUACGGAGAAAGAGUUUGCAUAUUCAGCAGCAGAGCAGUGCAGGCUGCUGGACAAGAUAGGAAGAUCUCCCGAGUACACGGUCGAGAGGAAGCUCGGCAAAGGGGGGCCCGACCAUGUUUUCGUCAGCCGGCAUUUAGCUGGUGCAACAGGAUGGUCCACAUGUGAGAGUGCUCAACAGCGAUUUUUUCUAAGAAGCAACAAGAACCUACAAUUCAUUGGAGUUGGAUAAAGAGUGCAUAUGUAACAAAAGCAGCUGCGAGCCCGAGGCAGAGACGAGGAAGGACAGAGAUGUACCAUCGUCAUGCUUUAUCUUCUUCAGGGUUGGGAGGGAGAAAGGGAAGUGGUGAUUUCCGGAGAGGGAGCAAGCGGGAGAACUGUAGUUUUUCAACGAAUGUUGAAAACUGAAUGAACGCCUGCUGGAUAAAUUACAUGAUCUGGAAACUUGACGCUGUGUUGUUGCAUAUAAAUAAUUUAUCAUCCAGUAUUCACCAGUCUCGCUGUGUUGUUCAAAUCCCCUUCAGUGAUGACAAAGCAUGCCGGCAACUUUGAGUAUAUGUUUCUUAUAUAUCAUUGUCAGAUUGUAAGAUGUUGACGUGUUGUCCAUCUUUCAUUUUCAAUGUCUCCAACACAGUAUGGUUUUGAAGUUUC
This is a non-coding RNA of Aegilops tauschii subsp. strangulata, 3455 nucleotides long. The record is from RefSeq and is a predicted model, not a curated record. NCBI's taxonomy places the organism in Eukaryota, Viridiplantae, Streptophyta, Magnoliopsida, Poales, Poaceae.